GAUGAACGCUGGCGGCGUGCCUAAUACAUGCAAGUCGAGCGAACGGACGAGAAGCUUGCUUCUCUGAUGUUAGCGGCGGACGGGUGAGUAACACGUGGAUAACCUACCUAUAAGACUGGGAUAACUUCGGGAAACCGGAGCUAAUACCGGAUAAUAUUUUGAACCGCAUGGUUCAAAAGUGAAAGACGGUCUUGCUGUCACUUAUAGAUGGAUCCGCGCUGCAUUAGCUAGUUGGUAAGGUAACGGCUUACCAAGGCAACGAUGCAUAGCCGACCUGAUAGGGUGAUCGGCCACACUGGAACUGAGACACGGUCCAGACUCCUACGGGAGGCAGCAGUAAGGAAUCUUCCGCAAUGGGCGAAAGCCUGACGGAGCAACGCCGCGUGAGUGAUGAAGGUCUUCGGAUCGUAAAACUCUGUUAUUAGGGAAGAACAUAUGUGUAAGUAACUGUGCACAUCUUGACGGUACCUAAUCAGAAAGCCACGGCUAACUACGUG
RNAcentral lists this ribosomal RNA (497 nucleotides) under uncultured bacterium. RNAcentral's name for it is "partial 16S ribosomal RNA". It matches the Rfam family "Bacterial small subunit ribosomal RNA", at positions 28 to 507 of the family's 1533-position model. The record is from RNAcentral.